AGUCUGGGCAGUAUCUUCUCAGCCUAAACCAUUAUUCCCUCCCUCCCUUUUAACAAAGACUCCUAGUUUCCCACCCAAUAUCCAGUCUCCAUUUUCUUCCUAACUGAAUGUUGACUUCUUCCCCCUGGGAAACAAGAUAUCAAGGAAAAUGAUGCACCUUGUUUGCCUCCCUUGCAAGUGGGCCUGGCCCAUCCAUCAGAGGUAAAAUCUGAUUGAACAACAGCAGCUGCCUUCAUCAAGGGAGCCUGGAGAGCAAACAGCGGAAAAACAGUCAUCUGGCAACAUGUUGCAGGAAAAAGACAUUACAAAAGAAUAACAAGCUUGAGGAAACAUGGAUGCCACACCUGAAAGGCAGUGGCCAUUUCGGUAAUCACCUGAGGCAAGAUCAGAAAAAAUCUAAAAGAAUUGCAGAGAUGCUGACCUUGAUGACUUCAAGCUGCUGAACCAAGCCCUCCCCCGACACCAGAAUCUUUCCAAUCAGAUUGAAAAUCCAUCUACAGAAGAAACACCAUCUUCCCAGUCGGAAGCCAAGGCGGCUAUGGCUACCUUCCCAUCAGGCAAACAUGAUCGGUCUGAGACAGGAUGUGUUGUAUCCUCUGAGAAGUUUUCCACUUUCAAAUUACCACUCGAAUGUCAAGGGCAAGAAGAAAAGGCAUCUGAAGUCAGCGUGCCGAGGUGUAGCUCUGCUACGGCAGCGCAUGUAAUAUAGCAGGGAAUCAUAAUUGAUUUCUAAUGGCAGAGAACAUUUAACCCGGCCGUGCGCAGAGAGAGGAACGGAGCGAGGAGGAGAAAAGAAGCUGAGCUCCAACUCCCACUUAAAAACUUCUUGAAGUCUAAAUUAAUUUGGUCCUAUCUCACUUACAGGGAAAGUAUCUAUUUCACUUGCAGCUAAACUGAGCGUUUGCUUAACCUCUUGGGGGAUAGGCUAUAGCUGCACGUAGACCUUUGCAAGAAGUGGCACGGUUAUCCAAUUUCCCUCUAAUUGCUCUAACAAGGAUGAAUUAGGACUUUCAUCAGCAGGACUGAGUGAUCAGUUUGGAGUCAGCCAUGGGCGGUGAAGCUGGUUAUUAAACAAAACUACGGUGUUAACUCCUAAUAAUACACAGUGAGGGCAAAUUAAGCAGAAGACAAAUAUGCCACACUGGUGACACUGGAGAAUAUGUUCUCUCGACUUUAUAUUUUAAAGUGAUGCUAUUAUUAGUGCCAUCUAAGUUCAUUUCUAAGGCAUAAUAGGGAAGUAAAUGUUCACUUGGGCUUUCUAUGUAGUUAAAAAGAAACCAUCUGACAAGGGAACACGGUAUACUGUUGAAAUGCCCACUUGGACUAAGCUCCACUUUGAGAUACAUUAAUUAUUCCAAUAACAUCGCAUUAGGAGAGCGGACAGAAAGCCUAGACAACACUGUAGUCCCCUGAUAAUUGUUGCUGGCUGAGGAGGACUGUGGCUACCACUGACUUUGUUGUCUUUGCUCAAAAUGUCACUGUGCUUGUCCAAGGUAGCAUAAAAUAAAACACUUCUGUUUCCACCCA
RNAcentral lists this long non-coding RNA (1527 nucleotides) under Homo sapiens (human). Its description in RNAcentral is "novel transcript". Lineage: Eukaryota; Metazoa; Chordata; Mammalia; Primates; Hominidae. The record is from RNAcentral.